This 254-nucleotide ribosomal RNA is filed under the name uncultured bacterium. RNAcentral's name for it is "partial 16S ribosomal RNA". It matches the Rfam family "Bacterial small subunit ribosomal RNA", at positions 524 to 776 of the family's 1533-position model. The record is from RNAcentral.
CACGUAGGGUGCGAGCGUUGUCCGGAAUUAUUGGGCGUAAAGAGCUCGUAGGCGGUGUGUCGCGUCGGCCGUGAAAACCUGCAGCUUAACUGUGGGCUUGCGGUCGAUACGGGCAUCACUGGAGUUCGGCAGGGGAGACUGGAAUUCCUGGUGUAGCGGUGAAAUGCGCAGAUAUCAGGAGGAACACCGAUGGCGAAGGCAGCUCGCUGGGACGGUACUGACGCUAAGGCGCGAAAGCGUGGGGAGCGAACAGG